This 253-nucleotide ribosomal RNA is filed under the name uncultured bacterium. Its description in RNAcentral is "partial 16S ribosomal RNA". It matches the Rfam family "Bacterial small subunit ribosomal RNA", at positions 524 to 776 of the family's 1533-position model. The record is from RNAcentral.
GACGAAGGUGGCAAGCGUUGCUCGGAAUCACUGGGCAUAAAGCGCGCGUAGGUGGCCUGACAAGUCAGUGGUGAAAUCCCAUCGCUCACCGAUGGAACUGCCGCCGAUACUGUCGGGCUUGAGGACAGUAGGGGAGUGUGGAAUUCCCGGUGUAGCGGUGGAAUGCGCAGAUAUCAGGAGGAACACCAAUAGCGAAGGCAGCUCGCUGGGACGGUACUGACGCUAAGGCGCGAAAGCGUGGGGAGCGAACAGG